Molecule: long non-coding RNA, 470 nt
Organism: Oncorhynchus tshawytscha (Chinook salmon)
Lineage: Eukaryota; Metazoa; Chordata; Actinopteri; Salmoniformes; Salmonidae
Source: Ensembl
GAGAUGGUUACAGAGAGACACAGAGAGAGACAGGGGAGAUGGUUACACACAGAGAGAGACAGAGGAGAUGGUUACACACAGAGACAGGGGAGAUGGUUACACACAGAGACAGGGGAGAUGGUUACACACAGAGACAGGUGAGAUGGUUACACACAGAGAGAGACAGGGGAGAUGGUUACACAGAAAGAGAGACAGGGGAGAUGGUUACACAGAGAGACAGGGAGAUGAUGGUUAUACUUGAGAGAGACCGGGGAGAUGGUUACACAGAGAGAGACGUGGAGAUGGUUACACACACACACAGACAUGUGAGAUGGUUACACAGAGAGAGAGACAGGGAAGAUGGUUACACAGAGAGAGACAGGGGAGAUGGUUACACAGAGAGAGACAGGGGAGAUGGUUACACACAGAGAGAGACAGGGGAGAUGGUUACACAAAGAGAGAGACAGGGGAGAUGGUUACACAGAGAGAGA